GCUAAGUUGAUAGGGUGAAGAAGCAUCAGUUGCCAGGAGGACGGAAGCUAUUGCGUUCGAGAUAGCUAAGUUGAUAAGGCGAAGAAGCAUCAGGUUAAUUUUUGCUAGCUCGGGUUGGAGAUUGUCGGAGAUGUCAUCACACUA
Molecule: long non-coding RNA, 144 nt
Organism: Gossypium arboreum
Lineage: Eukaryota; Viridiplantae; Streptophyta; Magnoliopsida; Malvales; Malvaceae
Exons: 3
Source: RefSeq, a predicted model, not a curated record